AUACGGAGGGGGCUAGCGUUGUUCGGAAUCACUGGGCGUAAAGCGCGCGUAGGCGGCCGGACAAGUUGGGCGUGAAAGCCCGGGGCUCAACCCCGGAACUGCGCUCAAAACUGUCCGGCUCGAGUCCGGGAGAGGAGAGUGGAAUUCCCAGUGUAGAGGUGAAAUUCGUAGAUAUUGGGAAGAACACCGGUGGCGAAGGCGGCUCUCUGGCCCGGUACUGACGCUGAGGUGCGAAAGCGUGGGGAGCAAACAGGAUUAGAAACCCUAGUAGUCC
This 274-nucleotide ribosomal RNA is filed under the name uncultured bacterium. Its description in RNAcentral is "partial 16S ribosomal RNA". It matches the Rfam family "Bacterial small subunit ribosomal RNA", at positions 523 to 796 of the family's 1533-position model. The record is from RNAcentral.